AUACAGUUAAAGUUUUGGCAAUCAGGCGCCCACCUGGAGAGCACGAGAAUACAGUUCAAGUUCAGCAAUCAGGCGCCCACCUGGAGAGCACGGUAAUACAGUUAAAGUUUUGGCAAUCAGGCGCGGGAAUACAGUUAAAGUUCAGCAAUUAGGCACCCACCUGGAAAGCACGGGAAUACAGUUCAAGUUUUGGCAAUCAAGCGCCCACCUGGAGAGCACUGGAGUACAGUUCAAGUUUUGGUAAUCAGGCGACCACCUGGAGAGCAAGGGAGAGCAACACCAGUAUUAAGGAAGGGAAACAGUUUAAGUGUCGGUAAUCAGACAUCUACCUGGAGAAAUGGAAAGCAUCUCAGAUUAUAAUUUGAAUUCAGUAAUCAGGCGUCCACCUGAAGAAAAGGGAAAGUGUCUAAGAUCACAACUCAAGUUGGCAACAGAGGGACCUCACCGGGAGAAUACAAGUCAACAAGGAAACAAGAAUCACAAGAUCAAGUUUGAGGACAUAGAUAGGAUUGUUGUAAUGUAUAGAUCAUAGUUUAGUCUAGCUUC
RNAcentral lists this long non-coding RNA (546 nucleotides) under Nicotiana tabacum (common tobacco). RNAcentral's name for it is "long non-coding RNA (NTAB_LNC000424)". Lineage: Eukaryota; Viridiplantae; Streptophyta; Magnoliopsida; Solanales; Solanaceae. The record is from RNAcentral.